RNAcentral lists this ribosomal RNA (612 nucleotides) under Nostoc sphaericum MACC 242. RNAcentral's name for it is "bacterial SSU rRNA". It matches the Rfam family "Bacterial small subunit ribosomal RNA", at positions 36 to 695 of the family's 1533-position model. Lineage: Bacteria; Bacillati; Cyanobacteriota; Cyanophyceae; Nostocales; Nostocaceae. The record is from RNAcentral.
CUUUCCGCAGCUUACACAUGCAGUCGAACGGAAUCUUCGGAUUUAGUGGCGGACGGGUGAGUAACGCGUGAGAAUCUGGCUUCAGGUCGGGGACAACAGUUGGAAACGACUGCUAAUACCGGAUGUGCCGAGAGGUAAAAGAUUAAUUGCCUGAAGAUGAGCUCGCGUCUGAUUAGCUAGUUGGUGUGGUAAGAGCGCACCAAGGCGACGAUCAGUAGCUGGUCUGAGAGGAUGAUCAGCCACACUGGGACUGAGACACGGCCCAGACUCCUACGGGAGGCAGCAGUGGGGAAUUUUCCGCAAUGGGCGAAAGCCUGACGGAGCAAUACCGCGUGAGGGAGGAAGGCUCUUGGGUUGUAAACCUCUUUUCUCAAGGAAUAAAAAAAUGAAGGUACUUGAGGAAUAAGCAUCGGCUAACUCCGUGCCAGCAGCCGCGGUAAUACGGAGGAUGCAAGCGUUAUCCGGAAUGAUUGGGCGUAAAGGGUCCGCAGGUGGCAGUGAAAGUCUGCUGUCAAAGAAUGAGGCUCAACCUCAUCAAGGCAGUGGAAACUACACAGCUAGAGUACGGUCGGGGUAGAAGGAAUUCCUGGUGUAGCGGUGAAAUGCGUAGAA